Molecule: non-coding RNA, 48 nt
Organism: Schistosoma mattheei
Lineage: Eukaryota; Metazoa; Platyhelminthes; Trematoda; Strigeidida; Schistosomatidae
Source: Rfam
AUCCAGCUGACGAGUCCCAAACAGGACGAAACGCCCGUCAAGCUAGAU